Molecule: ribosomal RNA, 364 nt
Filed under: uncultured bacterium
Lineage: Bacteria
Description: bacterial SSU rRNA
Rfam family: Bacterial small subunit ribosomal RNA
Source: RNAcentral
AAUGAACGUUGGCGGCGUGGAUUAGGCAUGCAAGUCGAGCGAGAAUCCCCGCAAGGGAGGGAAAGCGGCGAAAGGGAGAGGAACACGUGGAUCAUCUGCCCUCAGGACUGGGAUAGCCACGGGAAACUGUGGGUAAUACCAGAUGACGUCUUCGGACCAAAGGUGUGAGUCCGCCUGAGGAUGAGUUCGCGUCCUAUUAGCUUGUUGGUAGGGUAACGGCCUACCAAGGCCANGAUGGGUACCGGGGUGUGAGAGCAUGGCCCGGCUCACUGGGACUGAGACACUGCCCAGACACCUACGGGUGGCUGCAGUCGAGGAUCUUCGGCAAUGGGGCAAAGCCUGACCGAGCGACGCCGCGUGCGGA